AUUGAACGCUGGCGGCAUGCUUUACACAUGCAAGUCGAACGGCAGCACGGGUGCUUGCACCUGGUGGCGAGUGGCGGACGGGUGAGUAAUACAUCGGAACGUGUCCUGAAGUGGGGGAUAACGCAUCGAAAGAUGUGCUAAUACCGCAUAUACUCUGAGGAGGUAAAGUAGGGGAUCGAAAGACCUUAUGCUUUUGGAGCGGCCGAUGUCUGAUUAGCUAGUUGGUGGGGUAAUUGCCCACCAAGGCGACGAUCAGUAGUUGGUCUGAGAGGACGACCAGCCACACUGGGACUGAGACACGGCCCAGGACUCCUACGGGAGGCAGGCAGUGGGGAAUUUUGGACAAUGGGCGCAAGCCUGAUCCAGCAAUGCGCGUGAGUGA
RNAcentral lists this ribosomal RNA (382 nucleotides) under uncultured bacterium. RNAcentral describes it as "bacterial SSU rRNA". It matches the Rfam family "Bacterial small subunit ribosomal RNA", at positions 30 to 408 of the family's 1533-position model. The record is from RNAcentral.